UGAUAUCAGGGUUCCAAAGUCAUACGACCACAUGAGCUUGCUCAUAAGUGGAUGUAUGACUUUGGAACCCGCCCCGACAUGAGCAUAAAAGCGGGAUUUUAAUCCUGCGAUAUGCGAAUGGUGGGGAUAGAUUGUGAGAGUGCGUAGCACGGAGCAAUCUAUAGAUAUCA
Molecule: small RNA, 170 nt
Organism: Dorea sp. CAG:105
Lineage: Bacteria; Bacillati; Bacillota; Clostridia; Lachnospirales; Lachnospiraceae
Rfam family: Clostridiales-1 RNA
Source: Rfam